UUUAUUUGACUAAAACGGUAAAGAAAAUGUAGAGAGAAUGUAAGAGCAUGUUUCCAUACAACCCGAUGUUGCCUAUAAAAGAAAACGGUCUUCCGUAAACUUCAUAACGUUAAUUCCUCUAAGCGAGCUGUCAUAACCAUACUAAAUAAUGACAAUUUCACCUGUCUUGGCGUCGUUGGACGCCGGUUUUGACUUUGACUAUAAGGUUUUCGUCACCCUAGACUGAGUUAGUCUAACUGUAGCGAACAGUUGAGGUGUGGGGUGUCAACCCCGUAUAGAUCUAUACACAAAUCCCCGUUCUCCCUCCAAGAGACUUUGGUUAUAACUACAGGCUACGAUUGUACACUUAAUAGGUGCCAACCGACAAAAACUCGCUAGAUCCUUAAUCGAAUUUACGCGAAGAGAAAAUGUAUAAACUCAUUCCAGGACCAAUGAUCCAUGUAAGUGAACCACUAAGGCAUCGCUAAACAUGUAAAUCAUUUCAAGACCUAAAGGGAAUGAGAUUAUAUAACAUGGGCCCGAAAUAUAUAUGAAAGGACAACUAAGGCCCAUUUCACAUGUAAAGUAUUUACAGGCCCAAUUGGCACACGAAUAGUAUCCAAGGUCCGUCGCACAUGUUAAUGGGUCAAUGAGGCCCAAUAACAUAUACAGGACCUCUCACACAUAAAAAAUGGGUCACUAAGGCCCAAUAACCUAGAAAUGAUCAAAUUAAAUUAUUUGUUGGUUUAUCAUUGGUUUUAGUUCAAGUGUUCACUAAACUAGCAUAAAAAGAAGAACGUAUAUAAAACCCAUUCCAGGCCCAAUAAACAUGUAAGUGGACCACUAAGGGCCACUAUACGUGUCUAUUAUUUCCAGGCUCAAAGGAAUGUGAAUGUCUAUCCUAAGCCCAAUAUACAUGUAAAAGGACACUAAGGCCCACUAAACAAGUAUAUUAUUUCUAGGCCCAAUAAGGAUAUGAAUACCUAUCCCGAGCCCAAUAUACAUGUAAAAGGACACUAAGGCCCACUAAACAAGUAUAUUAUUUCCAGGCCCAAUAAGGAUAUGAAUAUCGUUUUUAACCCGUUUGUUAUUGUUUUGUUUAUUUUAACUUGAUUAUUUACAUAAUUGAUAUAUAAAGCCCACUUUUUGUAAAAAUGACGUUCUUGGCCCAAUAAGCCAAAAGUUUACAAUUAAGGCCCAAUUUUUCUAAGAAUAACACUUUAAUCUCCAAUUUUGUUAAAAACUUGUGUUGAUGACUACUUUGUGAUAAAAAUAGCAUUUUAAACCCAUUUUUGUCAAAAAUAUCAUUUUUGUCUAGGUUUUGUGAAAAUACAUAUUUUUCGUGUUUUUGGCCUUUCCGAACUAGUUUUUAGAAAAUUUGUAGAAAAUUCAUCGUAAGUCGAAAUCUGGAUCCGUAAAUUUUGGAAGUUUGGAAAUUUUGUCUACCUUGUUCACAAUGUUUCUCAUAAUUUUUGAUGACUUCAAACUAGUGUGAAAUUACUCAUCUUCACAGGUUGGUCCGAAAUUAUUUCAAAUAUGAUAGGCAGUUUUGUAAAAUUCGCCAAAAAUUGUAGAAAAAUCGUAUGAAAACGUGAGAGUAGUCAUUUUAAAGGUAUAAAUCUGAACUUUAUCCAUGUAAAAAAGUUUUGAAAAAUACUUCCAUUUGGAUGGUCAAAACAGUCCGAGAUUGGACCAAAAGUUUUCUGUCAAGGGCUGUUUUGUGAGUUUAGUUUAUAGAUCUUUGAACACAACACUUAUUUUUGCUAUAUCAAGUAUAAAAAUACCAGAUCUACAUGUUUACAUGUAAUACUUGUGAUAAAACAUACUUUUCUCAAGAUUCAUAUGAAGAUCCUAGUGAUAAACUUCAUGUUUCUUAACAUAUUUUUAGAUUAGUAAAGAAAUCAACUCAUAAUCACCAAAUGUUUCAAGAAAACACACAUAAUCAUGUAUGUAUACAUAGAUCUACAGAUAAGACUUGUAUUCUCCCCCAAAAAAACAAGUAAAAACAGAAAACAAGGGGGUAUGAACUCAUUUUGGGGUGUUGGAUUCGGUUUUUGGUGAAGAGGUGAGUAGAUCUCGGCCCUAGCAAACUCCUUGAGGAUGUUUACGAACUUAAAGGGUUCUAUGAUCAUGACCCACGAAAAUAUGGUGUAAGAGGAGUGAUUUGAGUUUAAAGAUGUAGUGAAUCAACUUAGGUUGUGAGAUCUUACCAAGGAUGAUGAUCUUUGAUGAAAACUCCUCUUGAAACACAACCAAAAUCUUGAGAAUUUUGGAGGAAGGAGAUGGAUUAUUCUUGAGAGAAUUGGAUAGAAUUUUGUGUGAUGUGUGUGUGUUUUGGCUCUUGGCCGUGAGUAAUAGAGAGAGAAGAGAGAGGAUGUUUCCUAGAUAUUUGGUGAGUAUUAGUCUCCUAGGAACAUGAUGGAUUUGUGCAUGGAUAUCCCCCAUACACUUGAGGUGGCANNNNNNNNNNNNNNNNNNNNNNNNNNNNNNNNNNNNNUUUUUUUUUUUGUUUUUGGGCCGAAUAUGGGCUAGAGAGAAAGGUGGUGGAUUAACUUGGCCCAUUUCUAGCCUUGGCUCGAAAUUAUGAGGCCCAUAAGAAAUCUUUCGGCCCAUUGGGCUCUUAGGGAGGCUCAUGGCCCAAAAUUGCUAAAGAAAUUAGUUUAGGGCCCAUUAGGGCUAAUUAAAUCCUUUAUGGCCCAUCAUGGCCCAAAAUGUUAUAGAUUUAUGAAUUGGGUCCAAUUAGAACAUAAUUAGGGUUUUUAGGCCCAAAGUAGUUAACUUGGAUACUUAUUGGUCCAUUAGUCCCAACAAGAGAAUCCUAGAACAUAUUAAACUUGAAUCGGGUUUUCUAGGGUUUCCAACCCUUAUUUGAACAUAUGAGAUGUAUUUGAACGAGAAUAGAGUAUAGGAUUUUACAAUGGAUGAUGCUUACACGGGAAUAGAAUUUCCUAGCAAAAUGCCAGUUGUGACAUCAUCCCCCCGUUAGAGGGAAUUUCGUCCCGAAAUUCUUUUGAGAGAUAGGUUCAUGAAUGAGAGAAUAGGUGAGGGUACUUAUGCUUAAUCUAGUCUUUUACGUUCACUUGUGAAUUCCGAUCUACGUUUUGCGUUCCGUUGAUCCUUCACAAUCGGAAUGCGACUUUGUUUUGUACGCUUUACUUCCUUAUCCAAUACAUUGACUGGUUCUUCGACGAACAGGAGAUUCUUGUUUAUUUCGAUCCCUGAUAAAGGAAUGAUAAGAGUUUUGCCUGAUAGGCACUUUUUCAGAUUCGAGACGCUGAACACAGGGUGUACGUUGCUGAGCUCUACAGGCAGCUGCAGUCUAUAAGUCUUUGGACCAAUCCGAGCAAGAAUCUCGAACAAUCCGAUGUAUCGUGAGUUUAGUUUUCUCGGUUCCUAAAACGAAUCGUUCCUUUCCAAGGAGAUUCCUUUAAUAGCACGCGAUCCUCGACUUGACAUCCUAAUGGAUUAUGCUACCUUGUCAGCAUAGCUCUUCUGUCGAUCUCGCGAUGCUUGAAGUCGAGUUGUGAUUUGGAUUAUCUUCUCUGUCGUCUCGCGAAUAGUUUUCUGGUCCCGUGUGAGUACUGACGAGUGAUAUGCAUUUACGACUAUAAAGAGCUUCGAAGAGAGCAACCUUGAUGCUUGUGCGAUAGCUGUUAUGGUAUGAGAAUUCAAUAAAGGGAAACUGGGUAUCCCCUGACUUGAUGAAUUCAAACACCCAGACUUGUAGCAUGAAUUUGAGUGGUUGAAUGGUUCAUUCGCUUUGACUAUUGGUUUGAGGGUGGUAAACAACGCUCGUAUCUAGCUAUGUUCCCAUAGCCUUCUGAAGUGACUGUCAAAAUCUUGAAGUAAUUCCGUUAUCCCGAUCCGAGAUAAUAGAUAUUGAUAUUACAUGGAGUCUCACAAUCUCUUGGAUAUAGAUCCAUGCUAAACUUCCUUCUUGUUUGAUUUCUGUAUUAGCAAGAAAUGGGCAGAUUGGGUUAACCUAUCGACGAUCACCCAGAUAACGCCCAACUCAACUCGCAUACCUAUAAGCUUCGUCUUUCAACUCCGAGAGUUUUAUCCAUCCACGUAGUGUUUUCUUCGCGAUAUUCUCCGACUUUGAUGCUUUCAAGGCUGGUCGUAAAUGUUGACAGUGUUUUGUUCUUGCUUCGUGAGUAGAUGAGUAUGCUAUUGAUGAAAAUAAUGAAAAGGAUGACUAGGAGCGGUUGAGAAAACUUGGUUCGUAGGGUCCAUGAAUACCGUGGGAGCAUUCGCUAGACCGAAGGGUAUCGCAACAUAUUUGAAAUGGUUGUGAUGAAUUCGGAAAGCAGUUUUUUUUUUGGAAUGUCCUCUUCUCGGACUUGAAACUGAUGGUAACUGGAUCUUAGAUCUAUUUUGGAGAAGCAACUAGCUCCUUGGAGCUGGCCAAAUAGAUCGUCAGUCCGAGGGAGUGGGUAUCGAUUUUUGAUAGGGAGCUUAUUCAAUUUCCUAAGAUCGAUGUACCUUUUAAAGGAUCCGUCUUCUUGAAGAACAAGAUCGAAGCUCUCCAGGGUGAGAAGCUUGAUCCGAUGAAUCCUUUGCUCAAAAAUUUUCUUAAUUGACUAGUUAACUCCAGAAUUUUGGCGGAAGCUGACCUAUAGGGUGAAUUGGCAAUUGAUGUGGUUCCCGGUAUGAGGUCGAUUCGAAAUUCGACCUGUCUCCCUGGGAUAUUCCCGAAAGUUCUUCGGAAACACAUCCGGGAAAUCACAUGCUACUGGAAUACCUUGUAUGCUUACUUCAUCCUUGGUCUUGUCCACAACAAGAGUGAGGAAAACGUAGUUCUUCUGGUGCAGGCACUUCUGUGCCUUCAUGCACGAGAUAGGACGAGGAUUGACGUUAGGUUUAUCACCAGGUGUUAUUAGAGUUUCGUGAUUGGGAUGGUGAAGGCAAACGACCUUCUCGUGACACAUAGUAUCAACACGGUGGGGGCUUAACCCAACCAUGCCAAUUAUCACAUCAAAACUCCUAAUAUUUAUUGGCAUUAAAUUUUAUUGGAAAUGAAUGAUUGUUUAGUGUUAAGGUGUACUCCACAAAAAUAUCCUAGGUUACUUCGGUUUUUCCCCAUUGGCCAUGUCCACCGUAAAGGCUUAGCUUAGCUUUGGGGUUGUUGUUUUAGUAAGUGCUCGAAUUUGUUACUAACGAAACUUCACUCAGCUUCACUAUUAAAUAAGGGGUAAGCGGAAGAGUUGUUAAGUGGGAACAUACCAAUAACAACCGUUGGGUCUUGGACUGCUUCGCCUUGACCCAACGUCAGGACCACUUCCGAUCCUUCUGCUCCUUGAUUGUUAUCCUUGGGGAAAUUGCGCCUGAAGUGACGGGUUCCUCCACACCCAUAACAGCUGUGACUGGUCUCAUAAUUGGUGUUGUUGUUAGGGUUGUUGCGAUUGUUGUCGUUUUCAUUUGGAUGGCGAUUCUGGCAUGGAUAAGUUCUACAGAAUUUGGCGGUGUGAUUCUUUCGGUUGCAUUUGUUACAAUGCAUCUCCCGGCAGGCUCCAUUAUGAUGGAAUUUGCACUGGUUGCAUUUUGGAAGGCUUCCAGCAUAUGGUCUCCUAGUUGUUGGUGUAAUAGGGGUCAUGGUCGCAUGAACAGCAACAACAUGUUGCUUCCUUGAGAGCCCUUGAGUGGGUUGUCCCUUUCUCUUAUUUCCAAGAUUUCGCUUCCUGCUCUUAAGCUUGGGGUUUAGUGUGCCUUGACAAGCUGUCACUUGUUGGUUCCCAUGCUUGUUCCUUUGGAUGGAGUUUUCAAUGCUAUUUCCGUCUCCAUUGGGGUUGUUUGCAUUGAUUUGUGCCAUAGCAGCGGUUACUGCCGCCGUUUCAGCAUUGGAAUGUAGCAGAGUCCAUCUGCAGGAGUGGUGUCUCGUGGGUGCGCUUGUUAUUCUUGUGGGAUGGCAUUUUCCUGCUGCACGUGCUUCCAUCUACAUCCCUAUGAUGUAUUUGCGAUAGUAGGUAAUCACAGAUUUGGCACGAUCGUCACGUCUAUCCUUAGAGUAUAUAGGGUGUUUUGGUUUCGAGACCCUUAAGUAUCUAGCGGUUUUGAGGGUUCGGUUGUGCAUAUAAUUGAAUUUAUGUAGUAAUAUGAAAUGAAGAUACCACAUAAUUGUUCCAUUGGUAAGUACCAUCUUAGUACACAAAAGAUAGUCAUAUCGGGUAGUGAGGGGAAAAAGAAAAGGGUUGAUUCUAAUCGUGGCGGAAAAUGUCUGGUGGUCGUGCUGAUGAAGUGGAUGCACCUCGGAGACGAGCUACUUGUUGCUCGGUAUCUCGUAGUCGUACCUCUCAAACUGACUGUCUCGCUCAGGAGUCUCCGUUCACUUCCUGUGUUUGUCUCUUGUCUCUCUCAAUAGCAAACUGCAUUUGUUCCGUUCGAUUUGGGGUGUCCUGUGCUCAGUUAUUAAUACCUCAGGUGCACCGGACCAUGACUGGGAGGGCCCAGUCAGCUGGUCCUCUAUGGCUAAUGGUCGGAGAGACCUCGGUUCCUACCCUAGUGUGGUCGUAUCCCCUACUGGUGACUCUCUAUCUCCAAAUAUUGUGUGCCUAAGGGGGGCAUGGGGCCACCGGUGCCCACACGAUAUGUCGGUACUCUGGCUUUACAUGGAGGAUUGAUGUCAUCGGAUUUUGUAUCCGAGUCAUCAUCAUUAUUGCCCUCUGGGUCUUCCUCUUCGAGGUCCAUUAUUGACUCGGCGGGUUCACCUACAAGUUCUACUUCGUGUUCCUCCUGUGGUUCCUUCUCUGAGUCGAGCCACCCUGCUAUUCCCUGACUAGGGAGAUAGGGGUUCCUUGGCUAAUGAUACUCGUCUAUAGUGUAUUGCACGAAGGGGUAUAAAUACUAGAAACAAAUAGCAUACCAAUUACUCCUAUAGUAAUUUAAUUUUGUUUAGGUUUGAUUCUAUAAGCUCUUUGGAUAAUUAAAUGGUAAGUUUUUGAUUCAUUGUCCAUCACAAUUACUCCCGAACACAUGUUGGUCGUAUUUUGAAUGAAUGUAGUUGAUCAGGCUACAUUCACCCCCAAUACGAUUACAUAAUUGUCCGAGUUUAAUAGUGAUGUUCAAAUCCUCCAAAGACUUUUAUUGUUCUUGUUAUGUUAUUAUUCUAAAAUGCACACAAAGGUAUGUAUUUUAAAUUAUUAUGUUCAGAGUUGUUUAGUCCCAUUGUAUUUAUAGUUACAUAUCCUGUAUGAUUAGACAUGCUAGUUCACUAUAAACAAUGCUCUGAUACCAAUCUGUCACACCCACGAACCAGACGACGGAAACGUUCGGGGGCUUGUGCAUGACUUCAUUUUGAAAUAUCAUUACAGUGAAUAUAAUUGAAACAUAAAAUCAUCAUCAUCACACAUGUAAUAUUACAACAUUCAUUGUUUACAUCGAGUAUUGUAUUUGAAUAUUACAUGCCAAGAUAGUAAGAGUAUGAUGAUAUUACAUGCCAAGAUAGUAAGAGUAUGAUGAAACAAAAUAUAACACAAUAUCCAUCAGUUUGUUUUGUUCAUCCCGCUUCAACGAUUUCCUGAGAAUACAAGUUAUUUUGAAAACGGUCAACAUAAAAAUGUUGGUGAGUUCAUAAGCAUGUUUGUGAAAAUGAUUUGUAUAACUUUGAAAACCACCAGAAAAUCCGAUAUUUUCUGAAAACUGUUUAGUGUGUUUGUAUUAGAUCUUGUAUUAAUGCAUGUAUGUUAUUGUUUAUUUGACUAAAACGGUAAAGAAAAUGUAGAGAGAAUGUAAGAGCAUGUUUCCAUACAACCCGAUGUUGCCUAUAAAAGAAAACGGUCUUCCGUAAACUUCAUAACGUUAAUUCCUCUAAGCGAGAUGUCAUAACCAUACUAAAUAAUGACAAUUUCACAUGUCUGGGCGUCGUUGGACGCCGGUUUUGACUUUGACUAUAAGGUUUUCGUCACCCUAGACUGAGUUAGUCUAACUGUAGCGAACAGUUGAGGUGUGGGGUGUCAACCCCGUAUAGAUCUAUACACAAAUCCCCGUUCUCCCUCCAAGAGACUUUGGUUAUAACUACAGGCUACGAUUGUACACUUAAUAGGUGCCAACCGACAAAAACUCGCUAGAUCCUUAAUCGAAU
RNAcentral lists this long non-coding RNA (8056 nucleotides) under Lactuca sativa (garden lettuce). Its description in RNAcentral is "long non-coding RNA (LSAT_LNC006739)". The record is from RNAcentral. Lineage: Eukaryota; Viridiplantae; Streptophyta; Magnoliopsida; Asterales; Asteraceae.